Molecule: ribosomal RNA, 521 nt
Filed under: uncultured Oxalobacteraceae bacterium
Lineage: Bacteria; Pseudomonadati; Pseudomonadota; Betaproteobacteria; Burkholderiales; Oxalobacteraceae
Description: bacterial SSU rRNA
Rfam family: Bacterial small subunit ribosomal RNA
Source: RNAcentral
AGAGUUUGAUCCUGGCUCAGAUUGAACGCUGGCGGAAUGCUUUACACAUGCAAGUCGAGCGGCAGCGCGGGGCAACCUGGCGGCGAGCGGCGAACGGGUGAGUAAUGUAUCGGAACGUACCUAGUCGUGGGGGAUAACGCACCGAAAGGUGUGCUAAUACCGCAUACGUCCUGAGGGAGAAAGCGGGGGAUCGCAAGACCUCGCGCGAUUAGAGCGGCCGAUAUCUGAUUAGCUAGUUGGUAGGGUAAAGGCCUACCAAGGCGACGAUCAGUAGCUGGUCUGAGAGGACGACCAGCCACACUGGAACUGAGACACGGUCCAGACUCCUACGGGAGGCAGCAGUGGGGAAUUUUGGACAAUGGGGGAAACCCUGAUCCAGCCAUUCCGCGUGAGUGAAGAAGGCCUUCGGGUUGUAAAGCUCUUUCAGCAGGAACGAAACGGUGCUGGUUAAUACCUGGCAUCACUGACGGUACCUGAAGAAGAAGCACCGGCUAACUACGUGCCAGCAGCCGCGGUAAUAC